RNAcentral lists this ribosomal RNA (233 nucleotides) under uncultured bacterium. RNAcentral describes it as "partial 16S ribosomal RNA". The record is from RNAcentral.
UAAUCCGACCUAGGCUCAUCUGAUAGCGCAAGGCCCGAAGGUCCCCUGCUUUCUCCCGUAGGACGUAUGCGGUAUUAGCGUCCCUUUCGAAACGUUGUCCCCCACUACCAGGCAGAUUCCUAGGCAUUACUCACCCGUCCGCCGCUCUCAAGAGAAGCAAGCUUCUCUCUACCGCUCGACUUGCAUGUGUUAGGCCUGCCGCCAGCGUUCAAUCUGAGCCAGGAUCAAACUCU